AUAUCAGUAAGCGGAGGAAAAGAAACCAACAGGGAUUGCCUCAGUAACGGCGAGUGAAGCGGCAACAGCUCAAAUUUGAAAUCUGGCUCUUUUAGAGUCCGAAUUGUAAUUUGUAGAAGAUGCUUUGGGGGUUGGCCUAGUCUAAGUUCCUUGGAACAGGACGUCAUAGAGGGUGAGAAUCCCGUAUGUGAUUAGUGCCUUCUCCCGUGUAAAGCUCUUUCGACGAGUCGAGUUGUUUGGGAAUGCAGCUCAAAAUGGGUGGUAAAUUUCAUCUAAAGCUAAAUAUUGGCCAGAGACCGAUAGCGCACAAGUA
Molecule: ribosomal RNA, 313 nt
Filed under: uncultured Helotiales
Lineage: Eukaryota; Fungi; Ascomycota; Leotiomycetes; Helotiales
Description: partial large subunit ribosomal RNA
Rfam family: Eukaryotic large subunit ribosomal RNA
Source: RNAcentral